CCUACGGGAGGCAGCAGUGAGGAAUAUUGGUCAAUGGGCGAGAGCCUGAACCAGCCAAGUCGCGUGAGGGAGUACUGCCCUAUGGGUUGUAAACCUCUUUUGUCGGGGAGCAAAAGCCGGACGUGUCCGGCUGUGAGAGUACCCGAAGAAAAAGCAUCGGCUAACUCCGUGCCAGCAGCCGCGGUAAUACGGAGGAUGCGAGCGUUAUCCGGAUUUAUUGGGUUUAAGGGGUGCGCAGGCGGAUUUUUAAGUCAGCGGUAAAAUCGUGGGGCUCAACCCCAUCCAGCCGUUGAAACUGGGGAUCUAGAGUGUGCGAGAGGUAUGCGGAAUGCGUGGUGUAGCGGUGAAAUGCAUAGAUAUCACGCAGAACCCCGGUUGCGAAGGCAGCAUACCGGUGCACAACUGACGCUCAGGCACGAAAGCGUGGGUAUCGAACAGGAUUAGAUACCCUAGUAGUC
This 458-nucleotide ribosomal RNA is filed under the name uncultured bacterium. RNAcentral's name for it is "partial 16S ribosomal RNA". It matches the Rfam family "Bacterial small subunit ribosomal RNA", at positions 338 to 795 of the family's 1533-position model. The record is from RNAcentral.